This 330-nucleotide ribosomal RNA is filed under the name Triticum aestivum (bread wheat). RNAcentral's name for it is "partial small subunit ribosomal RNA". Lineage: Eukaryota; Viridiplantae; Streptophyta; Magnoliopsida; Poales; Poaceae. The record is from RNAcentral.
AUGUAUUAUGAUAUUCCCUCCGUGGUCGGGUUUUGUUUUUCGUUUUGCAUUUUGUUCAUGUCAUGCAUCUCAUAUCAUGUCAUCAUGUGCAUUGCAUUUGCAUACGUGUUCGUCUCAUGCAUCCGAGCAUUUUCUCCGUUGUCCGUUUUGCAAUCCGGCACUCCCAUCUCCUCCGGCGCACCCCUCUUGUUUUCCUUUCGUGAGCGGGUGUUGAAGGUUCUCGGAAUGGACCGAGUCUUGUCAAGUGGCCUUGGUAUACCACCGGUAGACCACCGGUCAAGUUUCGUUCCAUUUGGAGGUCGUUUGGUACUCCAACGGUUAACCGGGUAA